Molecule: ribosomal RNA, 303 nt
Filed under: uncultured bacterium
Lineage: Bacteria
Description: partial 16S ribosomal RNA
Rfam family: Bacterial small subunit ribosomal RNA
Source: RNAcentral
AGCAGCCGCCGCGGUAAUACGGAGGGUGCAAGCGUUAAUCGGAAUUACUGGGCGUAAAGCGCACGCAGGCGGUCUGUCAAGUCAGAUGUGAAAUCCCCGGGCUUAACCUGGGAACUGCAUUUGAAACUGGCAGGCUAGAGUCUUGUAGAGGGGGGUAGAAUUCCAGGUGUAGCGGUGAAAUGCGUAGAGAUCUGGAGGAAUACCGGUGGCGAAGGCGGCCCCCUGGACAAAGACUGACGCUCAGGUGCGAAAGCGUGGGGAGCAAACAGGACUAGAGACCCGUGUAGUCCCUGUCUCUUAUAC